Mangifera indica (mango) is the source of this 1258-nucleotide long non-coding RNA. RefSeq lists it as uncharacterized. The record is from RefSeq and is a predicted model, not a curated record. Lineage: Eukaryota; Viridiplantae; Streptophyta; Magnoliopsida; Sapindales; Anacardiaceae. The transcript is spliced from 2 exons.
AAAUAAAAUAAGUUUUCUUUCAAACUUGUGAAAUUUGUUCUUUCAAAAUAUUUUGACAAAUCAAAAGCAAGAAAGUAAUUAGUUGUUGAUAUGCUGGUCUUGCUUGAAGCUAAAAGAACUGAUAAUACCGUAGUACACAUGGGCCCGUUUCAACUGUCGAUUCCAGUGUCGAAAAAGUGGUGAACUAUACAAAGCUAAUGAAUUUGAGUGCAAUUCUGACAAUAAUUCGGAUUGGAUUUAUUUAAUUUUUAUUUCUGUACUGAUCCUUAGUUAAAAGGCCCAUGAGGCCGACGACAAAAUUUUUUUAAGGCCGGGCACAGGCUAAGGCUAUUGAGGAUUGGCGGCCUCUUCGGCUUUAUCUUAUUGGGUUUUCUAUUAAAUGCCGCAAAAUUUAUGUUUCAAAUUUAUAUUGCAAUAAUUUGACCAAGAGUGGAUUGGGAUUGCGUCAAAGCUAAGCGCAGUUUUAAUCCAACAUAAUCAAUUUUGAGAUUAAAAGUGGCUUGUUCUACUUAUUGGAGAAAAAGAAUCGUCAAUAAAAUAAGCUUCAAUUUGAUAUAAACCAAGCAAUGAUUUGGGUUUAAACAGAUAAUUCAAAAAAAAAAAAAAAAAAGAUAUACAACUAAACUAAGUGCAGCUCAGCAUAGCAUUUCUUGUAGAGAAUAUGCGAAAAACAAGAAGAUCAUAUAUCUAUGCACAUUCAUUUGAUAUAGUUUUUACAUAGAAGAUUAUAAAAUCGUGCCUGUUAUUGAACAAGCUCUAUAAUAUUCAUUAUAAAUAGUAUUUAUUAUUGGAAUUAAUGAACACUUUAUCUAUAAAAUAUGAUUGAUGGUCCUAUUAUCCGAUCAGUGGAUAGGAGCUUUGCACUCUAAUAAACAAGGGGAAGAAGAAGGGCAACACCUCUAGACGACCCAUAAAUAAUUUGAGCUCAACCCACAAAAGAUUUUUAAUAAGAUUUUUCUUAUAAAUAAAAAUCUUCUUAGAAUACUAGUAUAUAAUUGUAUUAUUUUAUUGUAUGAGUGAUAUAGUAAUUCAUUAAUAGAUAUUUUCAUUAUGAUCAAAACGAGAGAGAUGAGGGGGGGAUAUAAUCUAUUUUAGAUGAAUUGUGAUAAAAUCCAAGUAUUCAUUUUUUUUACUAUUGAUUCCACGCACAUUAUCUAACAAUUAGACAGGGAAAAAUGGUUACAUCCAUAAUUUCCUCAAUAUCCCAAUUCAAUGAAUUCCAGCAAUGAAAUAAAAAAGAACAAAACGAGGGUGAUAA